UACAGAGGGUGCGAGCGUUAAUCGGAAUUACUGGGCGUAAAGCGCGCGUAGGCGGCUUUGCAAGUCGGGUGUGAAAUCCCCAGGCUCAACCUGGGAACUGCAUUCGAGACUGCAUUGCUAGAGUAUGGGAGAGGGAAGUGGAAUUUCCGGUGUAGCGGUGAAAUGCGUAGAUAUCGGAAGGAACAUCAGUGGCGAAAGCGACUUCCUGGACCAGUACCGACGUUCAGGCACGAAAGCGUGGGGAGCAAACAGG
RNAcentral lists this ribosomal RNA (253 nucleotides) under uncultured bacterium. RNAcentral describes it as "partial 16S ribosomal RNA". It matches the Rfam family "Bacterial small subunit ribosomal RNA", at positions 524 to 776 of the family's 1533-position model. The record is from RNAcentral.